GCCUGUCAAGUUUCAAUCAGAUUGAGGUCAAGCCUGAGAUGAUUGGCCACUAUUUGGCGGAGUUCUCCAUCUCAUAUAAGCCUGUCAAGCAUGGUAGACCUGGUAUUGGUGCUACUCACUCGUCAAGGUUUAUACCACUCAAGUGAUCUGGCCGAGUUCUCUAUCUCAUAUAAGCAUAUCAAGCUUGGUAGACCUGGUAUUGGUGCUACUCACUCGUCAAGGUCCAUACAACUCAAGUGAUUUUGGCGCCAAUGUCUACUUUUGCUUCUGUUCUAGCCUUGUCUGAACUAUUUCGUACAACAAUUUUGAUGUGAGAUCAAGUGUUAUUACUGUUUAGUUUGUAAGACUAGUGUUUUCCUGAAACAUCAACAUUGAUUUGGCAUUUUUUAAUCAUGAAUAUCGUCAUAUUUGACUUGCAACAUCAACUGCUUGAUUUGCGGAGUAUGAGCCCAUCCUAAUGAUGUCCCAGAGUUUUGGACCAGUAAAAUAGUCGAAGUAACUGAAUUAUGUGCAUUGCGUGCUGUAAAUAUGUGAUAAUAUAGUAGAAGUAAACCGAAAUAUGUGCAUGGAGUGCUGUAAAUACGUCUAUCUUGAUGUUAAAUCAAAAUCUCCUUGCAGCUUUAUGAGUGACAGAAUACUCUAUUCUGAUGCUCGAGACUGGAUGUAUCGCUGCUAAUAUUUCAGCAGUGUAUUUAACCUAGAAUGGCUUGACGAGGAAGAUCAAACAAAAGAAAAGGUAAGAAACAGAGGAGAAUCUUUCCCAAUUCAUUUGCAAAGUUCUUGUGGUUGUGGU
This 793-nucleotide long non-coding RNA is filed under the name Nicotiana benthamiana. RNAcentral describes it as "long non-coding RNA (NBEN_LNC010175)". The record is from RNAcentral. Lineage: Eukaryota; Viridiplantae; Streptophyta; Magnoliopsida; Solanales; Solanaceae.